RNAcentral lists this ribosomal RNA (497 nucleotides) under uncultured bacterium. RNAcentral describes it as "partial 16S ribosomal RNA". It matches the Rfam family "Bacterial small subunit ribosomal RNA", at positions 28 to 507 of the family's 1533-position model. The record is from RNAcentral.
GAUGAACGCUGGCGGCGUGCCUAAUACAUGCAAGUCGAGCGAACAGAUGAGGAGCUUGCUCCUCUGACGUUUGCGGCGGACGGGUGAGUAACAUGUGGAUAACCUCCCUAUAAGACUGGGAUAACUUCGGGAAACCGGAGCUACUACCGGAUAAUAUAUUGAACCGCAUGGUGCAAUAGUGACAGACGGUUUUGCUGUCACUUAUAGAUGGAUCCGCGCCGCAUUAGCUAGUUGGUAAGGUAACGGCUUACCAAGGCAACGAUGCGUAGCCGACCUGAGAGGGUGAUCGGCCACACUGGGACUGAGACACGGUCCAGACUCCUACGGGAGGCAGCAGUAGGGAAUCUUCCGCAAUGGGCGAAAGCCUGACGGAGCAACGCCGCGUGAGUGAUGAAGGUCUUCGGAUCGUAAAACUCUGUUGUUAGGGAAGAACAAAUGUGUAAGUAACUAUGCACGUCUUGACGGUACCUAAUCAGAAAGCCACGGCUAACUACGUG